UACAGAGGUCCCGAGCGUUGUCCGGAAUUAUUGGGCGUAAAGAGCUCGUAGGCGGCUUGUCACGUCGGAUGUGAAAGCCCGAGGCUUAACCUCGGGUCUGCAUUCGAUACGGGCUAGCUAGAGUGUGGUAGGGGAGAUCGGAAUUCCUGGUGUAGCGGUGAAAUGCGCAGAUAUCAGGAGGAACACCGGUGGCGAAGGCGGAUCUCUGGGCCAUUACUGACGCUGAGGAGCGAAAGCGUGGGGAGCGAACAGG
RNAcentral lists this ribosomal RNA (253 nucleotides) under uncultured bacterium. RNAcentral describes it as "partial 16S ribosomal RNA". It matches the Rfam family "Bacterial small subunit ribosomal RNA", at positions 524 to 776 of the family's 1533-position model. The record is from RNAcentral.